RNAcentral lists this ribosomal RNA (468 nucleotides) under uncultured bacterium. Its description in RNAcentral is "partial 16S ribosomal RNA". It matches the Rfam family "Bacterial small subunit ribosomal RNA", at positions 28 to 507 of the family's 1533-position model. The record is from RNAcentral.
GACGAACGCUGGCGGCGUGCUUAACACAUGCAAGUCGAACGGAAAGGCCCUGCUUUUGUUGGUUGCUCGAGUGGCGAACGGGUGAGUAACACGUGAGUAACCUGCCCUUGACUUUGGGAUAACUUCAGGAAACUGGGGCUAAUAUCGGAUAGGAGCUCCUGCUGCAUGGUGGGGGUUGGAAAGUUUCGGCGGUUGUGGAUGGACUCGCGGCUUAUCAGCUUGUUGGGGGGGUAGGGGCUUUCCAAGGCUUUGACGGGUAGCCGGCCUGAGAGGGUGACCGGGGACAUUGGGCCUGAGAUAGGGACCAGACUCGAAUCGGACGCAGCAGUCGGAAACAUUGCAGAGUGAGGCGGCGCCUGAUGCAGCGACGUCGCGAGCGGAAUACUCGCUUUCGGGUUAAAAACCAAUUUCGAAUGAGACGAAGAGUGAGUGACGGUACUGAGUCAGAAAGCAACGGCUAACUACGUG